CUGGGACUCGCUGGGCUCGGACGCAGCGUUAGACUCGCUGGGCUCAGAAGCAGCGUUAGACUCGCUGGGCUCGGA
Angomonas deanei is the source of this 75-nucleotide non-coding RNA. Lineage: Eukaryota; Euglenozoa; Kinetoplastea; Trypanosomatida; Trypanosomatidae. The record is from the annotation of a GenBank genome assembly.